This 359-nucleotide long non-coding RNA is filed under the name Cyanistes caeruleus (blue tit). Its description in RNAcentral is "lncRNA (ENSCCEG00000009082.1)". The record is from RNAcentral. Lineage: Eukaryota; Metazoa; Chordata; Aves; Passeriformes; Paridae.
UGGGGCUGGACAUGGAUGGCGGCGCACUCAGCCCACUGUUCCCUUUGGCUUGCAGGUGGCCAUCAAAAAGGUGCCACGGAACCGUGUUCAGCACUGGGGCGAGCUGCCUAGCAGAGAUUCCUGGAAUGCCAGGACAAGAUAAGCCUUAAAGGGAAAACAGUGAGAAAAGAGACGCCGGAGAAAGGACACGUAACCCGGAAGCCGAGGCACAUAAAAGGAGAAACACGGAAGCGGGAAGCGCGGCAGUUUCGCGGAGAAGAAAUUUUUACCUUCUCCCCUGUCGCCUGGCGCCGACUUUUGCUUAUUGCUGGCUUGCUGUAAUUAAUAAAACCUUUCCUUAUAUCUCUCUCUCUAGUGCA